GUGUGAGAUGAUGGCAAUCGUCUUUCUGGACUGACUUGAAGUGAAGAGAACACUCUUGCUGAGCACUU
This 68-nucleotide small nucleolar RNA is filed under the name Nannospalax galili (Upper Galilee mountains blind mole rat). Its description in RNAcentral is "Small nucleolar RNA SNORD2 (ENSNGAG00000009650.1)". It matches the Rfam family "Small nucleolar RNA SNORD2". Lineage: Eukaryota; Metazoa; Chordata; Mammalia; Rodentia; Spalacidae. The record is from Rfam by way of RNAcentral.